ACACCCUCAAGCUUUGCUUGGUGUUGGGCGUCUGUCCCUGCGGCCUGCCCGCCCGGACUCGCCUCAAAGGUAUUGGCAGCGGUCUUGCCGGGCCUCCUAAUUGCGCAGCACUGUUCGCGCUUCCUGGAGCCCGCGCGAAACCAGCGUCCAUCAAGCCCCAUCUUCUGA
RNAcentral lists this unclassified non-coding RNA (168 nucleotides) under uncultured Periconia. Its description in RNAcentral is "sequence contains ITS2". The record is from RNAcentral. Lineage: Eukaryota; Fungi; Ascomycota; Sordariomycetes; Microascales; Halosphaeriaceae.